This 448-nucleotide ribosomal RNA is filed under the name uncultured bacterium. RNAcentral describes it as "bacterial SSU rRNA". It matches the Rfam family "Bacterial small subunit ribosomal RNA", at positions 355 to 825 of the family's 1533-position model. The record is from RNAcentral.
UGGGGAAUAUUGCGCAAUGGGCGCAAGCCUGAUCCAGCCAUGCCGCGUGAGUGACGAAGGUCUUCGGAUUGUAAAGCUCUUUUUGGCGGGGACGAUAAUGACGGUACCCGCAGAAUAAGCCCCGGCUAACUUCGUGCCAGCAGCCGCGGUAAUACGAAGGGGGCUAGCGUUGUUCGGAAUUACUGGGCGUAAAGCGCACGUAGGCGGACUGAUAAGUCAGGGGUGAAAUCCCGGGGCUCAACCUCGGAACUGCCUUUGAUACUGUUAGUCUCGAGUCCGGAAGAGGUGAGUGGAAUUCCUAGUGUAGAGGUGAAAUUCGUAGAUAUUAGGAAGAACACCAGUGGCGAAGGCGGCUCACUGGUCCGGUACUGACGCUGAGGUGCGAAAGCGUGGGGAGCAAACAGGAUUAGAUACCCACGUAGUCCCUGAGCGGGCUGGCAAGGCGCAU